GUGAGCCGGCCGGUCAAGAAGGAGGAUCCCCAUCAACGCACGAAGAGGCCUUGGAUCCGUGGGUUUACUCACGGAUUUCUCCACCAAAUCCUCGCCGGAAGGGCCGCCGGAGCAUUCCGCCGGACCGAGGUAAGCCUUGUGCUUCAUUACUUUGUUUUUUAGGUGGUGUUGGUGAAGUUUUGGCCGGUGAAGCCGUCGGAGAGGGAUCCGAAACAGGGUACCCCUGUUUCGGCCCCCUUCUUUCGGAUCUCGCCGCCGGCGGCCGCCGGGAAUGGCCGAGGUCCAUGG
RNAcentral lists this long non-coding RNA (288 nucleotides) under Phoenix dactylifera (date palm). RNAcentral describes it as "long non-coding RNA (PDAC_LNC018158)". Lineage: Eukaryota; Viridiplantae; Streptophyta; Magnoliopsida; Arecales; Arecaceae. The record is from RNAcentral.